AGAUUUGCCUCAUAUGACCAUCUGAUGGCCUUUUUGUCUCUCAUCAAACCAUCAACUGUAAAAAUUGCCCGUGUCACACGAGCAAGGAAAACAAAGCUGAGGAAUUAGAUGACACUUCCAUAUCCCUACUCAAGACAUGCCCUACCCAUGCUGGAUGAGCUGUUCCUCUUCCUCAUGUACUGGGGUCAACUGAGAUGGACCUCGCUGACCGAUUUGACAUUCAUCACUCGACAGUCAGCAGGAUCGUUGUCACAUGGGCCAACUACCUUUACAUUCUGCUGGGGUAUGUCUCUAUAUGGAUGUUUUUGGAAGAUGUCACGGCUGAGUUGCCAAGGAGUUCAGUAAGUAUCCAAUAAGUAUCCAGUAAGACACCCAAGUCAUCAUUGACCGAGUUGAGAUGACAGCAGCCAGUCUCCCUCUACACAGUGAGAUGUACUCUCAUUACAAGUCCCACUGACCUUGAAAGGCCUGCUUGGGAUGGCCCCACACGGAGCAGUUCCUUUUGUGUCAGAAUUGUAUGCUGGCUCCAUUAGUCACAGAGCUAUUCAAACAAUCAGGACUGUUUGGCUUUCUCACUGAAGACAUGGCAGUGAUGGCAGACAUGGGGUUCUUGAUUGAUAACGGUGUGCCAGGCAAGGUCUACCAUCCACCCUUUGUCUAAACAGAGCCAAAUGCCAGCAGCACACGUCCAUCAAACGCAAGAUAUUGCCCAUCUUAGAUUCCACAUUGAGACAUUAAUUGGCAGAAUGAAUCUGAACAAGGUGUUUCAGUCAGAGAUCCCCAUGUCACUGAUGGGAAGCAUCAACUGCUUCUGGGCUGUGGAUUGCUUUCUCGCAAACUACCAGUGUGGGCCUCUUGUUGAAGGCAUGGGCCAAGAAGCAAUGAGCUACUACUUCAAUGCAUCUUUCCUUUUUUUGCUGUGACCAUCCAUAUUGCCUAACACCCUGUAGUCCAUUUGUUGAUAAUAAACACCACUGCUUAUAAUCCAAA
Non-coding RNA from Oncorhynchus mykiss (rainbow trout), 990 nucleotides. NCBI's taxonomy places the organism in Eukaryota, Metazoa, Chordata, Actinopteri, Salmoniformes, Salmonidae. The record is from RefSeq and is a predicted model, not a curated record.